This 1251-nucleotide ribosomal RNA is filed under the name Escherichia coli. RNAcentral describes it as "partial 23S ribosomal RNA". It matches the Rfam family "Bacterial large subunit ribosomal RNA", at positions 375 to 1633 of the family's 2925-position model. The record is from RNAcentral. Lineage: Bacteria; Pseudomonadati; Pseudomonadota; Gammaproteobacteria; Enterobacterales; Enterobacteriaceae.
GUACACAAAAAUGCACAUAUUGUGAGCUCGAUGAGUAGGGCGGGACACGUGGUAUCCUGUCUGAAUAUGGGGGGACCAUCCUCCAAGGCUAAAUACUCCUGACUGACCGAUAGUGAACCAGUACCGUGAGGGAAAGGCGAAAAGAACCCCGGCGAGGGGAGUGAAAAAGAACCUGAAACCGUGUACGUACAAGCAGUGGGAGCCUCUUUAUGGGGUGACUGCGUACCUUUUGUAUAAUGGGUCAGCGACUUAUAUUCUGUAGCAAGGUUAACCGAAUAGGGGAGCCGAAGGGAAACCGAGUCUUAACUGGGCGUUAAGUUGCAGGGUAUAGACCCGAAACCCGGUGAUCUAGCCAUGGGCAGGUUGAAGGUUGGGUAACACUAACUGGAGGACCGAACCGACUAAUGUUGAAAAAUUAGCGGAUGACUUGUGGCUGGGGGUGAAAGGCCAAUCAAACCGGGAGAUAGCUGGUUCUCCCCGAAAGCUAUUUAGGUAGCGCCUCGUGAAUUCAUCUCCGGGGGUAGAGCACUGUUUCGGCAAGGGGGUCAUCCCGACUUACCAACCCGAUGCAAACUGCGAAUACCGGAGAAUGUUAUCACGGGAGACACACGGCGGGUGCUAACGUCCGUCGUGAAGAGGGAAACAACCCAGACCGCCAGCUAAGGUCCCAAAGUCAUGGUUAAGUGGGAAACGAUGUGGGAAGGCCCAGACAGCCAGGAUGUUGGCUUAGAAGCAGCCAUCAUUUAAAGAAAGCGUAAUAGCUCACUGGUCGAGUCGGCCUGCGCGGAAGAUGUAACGGGGCUAAACCAUGCACCGAAGCUGCGGCAGCGACACUAUGUGUUGUUGGGUAGGGGAGCGUUCUGUAAGCCUGUGAAGGUGGCCUGUGAGGGUUGCUGGAGGUAUCAGAAGUGCGAAUGCUGACAUAAGUAACGAUAAAGCGGGUGAAAAGCCCGCUCGCCGGAAGACCAAGGGUUCCUGUCCAACGUUAAUCGGGGCAGGGUGAGUCGACCCCUAAGGCGAGGCCGAAAGGCGUAGUCGAUGGGAAACAGGUUAAUAUUCCUGUACUUGGUGUUACUGCGAAGGGGGGACGGAGAAGGCUAUGUUGGCCGGGCGACGGUUGUCCCGGUUUAAGCGUGUAGGCUGGUUUUCCAGGCAAAUCCGGAAAACCAAGGCUGAGGCGUGAUGACGAGGCACUACGGUGCUGAAGCGACAAAUGCCCUGCUUCCAGGAAAAGCCUCUAAGCAUCAGGUA